This 1554-nucleotide ribosomal RNA is filed under the name Klebsiella pneumoniae. RNAcentral describes it as "bacterial SSU rRNA". It matches the Rfam family "Bacterial small subunit ribosomal RNA". Lineage: Bacteria; Pseudomonadati; Pseudomonadota; Gammaproteobacteria; Enterobacterales; Enterobacteriaceae. The record is from RNAcentral.
ACUUAAAUUGAAGAGUUUGAUCAUGGCUCAGAUUGAACGCUGGCGGCAGGCCUAACACAUGCAAGUCGAGCGGUAGCACAGAGAGCUUGCUCUCGGGUGACGAGCGGCGGACGGGUGAGUAAUGUCUGGGAAACUGCCUGAUGGAGGGGGAUAACUACUGGAAACGGUAGCUAAUACCGCAUAAUGUCGCAAGACCAAAGUGGGGGACCUUCGGGCCUCAUGCCAUCAGAUGUGCCCAGAUGGGAUUAGCUAGUAGGUGGGGUAACGGCUCACCUAGGCGACGAUCCCUAGCUGGUCUGAGAGGAUGACCAGCCACACUGGAACUGAGACACGGUCCAGACUCCUACGGGAGGCAGCAGUGGGGAAUAUUGCACAAUGGGCGCAAGCCUGAUGCAGCCAUGCCGCGUGUGUGAAGAAGGCCUUCGGGUUGUAAAGCACUUUCAGCGGGGAGGAAGGCGAUAAGGUUAAUAACCUCAUCGAUUGACGUUACCCGCAGAAGAAGCACCGGCUAACUCCGUGCCAGCAGCCGCGGUAAUACGGAGGGUGCAAGCGUUAAUCGGAAUUACUGGGCGUAAAGCGCACGCAGGCGGUCUGUCAAGUCGGAUGUGAAAUCCCCGGGCUCAACCUGGGAACUGCAUUCGAAACUGGCAGGCUAGAGUCUUGUAGAGGGGGGUAGAAUUCCAGGUGUAGCGGUGAAAUGCGUAGAGAUCUGGAGGAAUACCGGUGGCGAAGGCGGCCCCCUGGACAAAGACUGACGCUCAGGUGCGAAAGCGUGGGGAGCAAACAGGAUUAGAUACCCUGGUAGUCCACGCCGUAAACGAUGUCGAUUUGGAGGUUGUGCCCUUGAGGCGUGGCUUCCGGAGCUAACGCGUUAAAUCGACCGCCUGGGGAGUACGGCCGCAAGGUUAAAACUCAAAUGAAUUGACGGGGGCCCGCACAAGCGGUGGAGCAUGUGGUUUAAUUCGAUGCAACGCGAAGAACCUUACCUGGUCUUGACAUCCACAGAACUUAGCAGAGAUGCUUUGGUGCCUUCGGGAACUGUGAGACAGGUGCUGCAUGGCUGUCGUCAGCUCGUGUUGUGAAAUGUUGGGUUAAGUCCCGCAACGAGCGCAACCCUUAUCCUUUGUUGCCAGCGGUUCGGCCGGGAACUCAAAGGAGACUGCCAGUGAUAAACUGGAGGAAGGUGGGGAUGACGUCAAGUCAUCAUGGCCCUUACGACCAGGGCUACACACGUGCUACAAUGGCAUAUACAAAGAGAAGCGACCUCGCGAGAGCAAGCGGACCUCAUAAAGUAUGUCGUAGUCCGGAUUGGAGUCUGCAACUCGACUCCAUGAAGUCGGAAUCGCUAGUAAUCGUAGAUCAGAAUGCUACGGUGAAUACGUUCCCGGGCCUUGUACACACCGCCCGUCACACCAUGGGAGUGGGUUGCAAAAGAAGUAGGUAGCUUAACCUUCGGGAGGGCGCUUACCACUUUGUGAUUCAUGACUGGGGUGAAGUCGUAACAAGGUAACCGUAGGGGAACCUGCGGUUGGAUCACCUCCUUACCUUAAAGAA